AAGACUAUUAGUAGGAAGAGGAGAGCUGCUGAGACGAAGAGCCUUAGACUCCACUCUGUCCAAGAGAGCUGUGUGAGUGGAGCCCCCCCACAUGUGAGAUGCAUACUCCAUACAAGGGCGGACAAGGCCCCUGUAUAUGGAUAGCAACUGUGUGGGGGAGAAGAACUGGCGGAGACGGUACAGAACACUCAGUCUCGAGGAGGCUGAUUUAGUAAGAGAAGAGAUAUGAAGCUUCUAGUUGAGAUUUUGAGUUAAGGAUAGACCGAGGAUGUUUAGUAUUGAAGAAGGUGAUAGCUGGGUGUUGUCGAAGAAUAGGGGAUAGUUGUUUGGAAGAUUGUGUCGAGUGGAUAGGUGGAGAAACUGUGUUUUUGAGGCGUUGAAGGACACCAGGUUCCUCUUGCCCCAAUCGAAAAUAAUAGUAAGGUCUGAGGCUAAGCAUUCUGUUGCCUCCAGCCUGGAAUCAUUUAGUUCCUGUUGGGUGGUUCUUCUAUUAAAGGAAGUUGAGUAAUGCAGAGUAGAGUCAUCGGCAUAAGAAUGGAUAGGACAGUUUGUUUUGGAAAGAUCAUCAAUGAACAACAGAAAGUGAGUGGGAGAUAGAACAGAACCCUGCAGAACACCACUAUUAAUAGGUUUAGGGGAAGAACAGUGACCGUCUACCACAGCAGGAAUAGAACGGUCAGAAAGGAAACUGGAGAUAAAGGUACAGGGAGAAGGUUACUAUUUCAGCAGUGAUAGGUUACAAUUUAAACAGUGAUAGGUUACUAUUUAAACAGUGAUAGGUUACGUACUAUUUCAAUAGUGAUAGGUUACCAUUUAAACAGUGAUAAGUUACCAUUUAAACAGUGAUAGGUUACCAUUUAAACAGUGAUGGGUUACCAUUUAAACAGUGAUAGGUUACCAUUUAAACAGUGAUGGGUUACCAUUUAAAGUGAUAGGUUACCAUUUAAACAGUGAUAGGUUACCAUUUAAACAGUGAUAGGUUACCAUUUAAACAGUGAUGGGUUACCAUUUAAACAGUGAUAGGUUACCAUUUAAACAGUGAUAGGUUACCAUUUAAACAGUGAUAGGUUACCAUUUAAACAGUGAUAGGUUACCAUUUAAACAGUGAUAGGUUACCAUUUAAAGUGAUAGGUUACCAUUUAAACAGUGAUAGGUUACCAUUUAAACAGUGAUAGGUUACCAUUUAAACAGUGAUAGGUUACCAUUUAAACAGUGAUAGGUUACCAUUUAAACAGUGAUAGGUUACCAUUUAAACAGUGAUAGGUUACCAUUUAAAGUGAUAGGUUACCAUUUAAACAG
Eriocheir sinensis (Chinese mitten crab) is the source of this 1299-nucleotide long non-coding RNA. RefSeq lists it as uncharacterized. The record is from RefSeq and is a predicted model, not a curated record. The transcript has 3 exons. NCBI's taxonomy places the organism in Eukaryota, Metazoa, Arthropoda, Malacostraca, Decapoda, Varunidae.